UGAGGAAGGAGGCACGUGGUCUCUGAAAUAAUUGUAUGCGGAAGGAGAAUAAACAUAUUUACAGGUAAGGAAAAACACCUAGUUCUUUUCUUAACUUAGAGUAUUUCUGAUAUAUAUUGAUCAGACACCUGAACAUGCCUAAGAUCGGUCAAAAUGAGACGAAUUUUUUGCUUCAAAUGAAAUUUGGAUCGAAAGACACAUCUUUGAGUUGAAUCAAUAGUCAAAACCAAGGACUAUGAAGGACGAAUUAGAAAAAAGCAGAGAUAAGUCCAUCGACUGGUAAAAUAAUACCGACAUUUUAUUAGAUACUAGUAUGUUCAAAAAGUUCCCAAAAUUACUACCGUGUGGCACGCUUACUGACCCGAUUCAAAUUCUAUUUUUUGUUGCGCCACAUCUGUUACUAACAUUACCUCUGAAUUUUAGUAUCAUAAUUCAAUAUUUUCGCUACAUUUAUCUGUGCGCAUGUUUUCAUUUUUUUACAAUUCUAAAAGUGGAAUUGAAUUUUUAACGACGAGUCUGUCUUAAAUUUUACCAAUUUCACAUUAUUUCUAUUGCUGCGAGCCGAUAUUCAUCAAACGUGUCAUUACUGGAGACGAGACAAAGGCUUAGGACUAUGACAGACAUUAGACGAGUGGAUCGAGUGGUACGAAUGAGUGGAGACUGAAAAAAGAAAAAGUUGUUUUCAUUUGGAAAGAAAGGUCUGCAUUGAUUAUAACAGUGUUGGGCACCACCAAUUUUUGGCAGAAGGACAAACAACUAGUGGACUUUGCACUACGAUAAGGCAGCGCCGUACAAUGUCAUCAUUAUCAUCGAAUUUUUGACGAAACAUCAAUGAUUAUAAUCGAACAGCAUUCGAAUUCACCUGCCUUCAUUCACUGCCGUUCCUCUCUAGUCAAUCAAAACUACUACGCGAAGUACAUUUCAGUAACCGAGACAACUUCGGAAAGAAGUAAUCUGUAAUGAUAACAUGGACUUCCUUCCAUAAAUUUAGACAUGGCGAAGAGAUUGGUAAAGGUUGGUAACAAAGGAACACGAUGCUUUUUAGCUAUAAGGUGGCGAAGGUGAGCGGACAAACAAUCAUAGAUACAUCUUUCAUGGAUUUUGAAAUAAGAGGAGAGGAACGAAAUGUGGUGGAAUUUCUCAGCAAGAGUAUGACCUUCGCUUUUGUACGUAGGGGUAAUGAGGAUCCAUUUCUGGAGAAUAAGAAAGUGAUACUCUUCGCGCGUUCUUAAAAAAUAUGUAGAAAGGGAGCAUUCUUGAAUUUCCAGGCGUUGAUUGUUGAAUUCGAAACUGUUUCCUUUUGUUUUACUACAGUCUUUUAUUUAUUUACUUUACUGACAGAACCUUGUUCUGUUCUGAAUUCUGGUCUCAGACCUUUGAAAUUGACUAAAAGUUAAACUAAGCGGACUUAUGUAUAACACGAGGUUGGAUAUGAAUGUGGGGACAGAAACAGGUGAAAUAUAUACAGGAAGUAACAAGCAGGCUAGCAUUGAGCGGAGAAAUACUUAGAAUGGUAAAAAUUAGGAAGAAAAGAUGGUUUCAAAUUAACUGAAGCUCAACAGCUUGGUUUGUAGACUCUUCACAACAGCCUUAAAUGAAAUAAAUAUUCAUAUUUAUAUAGUUCGGUGAGGUAGUUGGGAAGCACGGAAAUGUUUCUCUCCACCCAAAGGAUAAGGUUGCUGGGGGCCUGCUAGAGUAAUUAGCAGCAAAAUUCGGAAUGACGACAGCUUGCGGUGGUGGGCAAUGACGAAACGUUUGGAGACAUUUCAUCAUCAAUAAGAUGAUCUGCGAUACUGGACAGCACUAUUAUCCCCGUAUGAAUGUCGUGCCCCUUCCAUCAAGUACGGUUGUGGGGCAAAGGAUUAUUUGGAGAAACCGUGAGAUUGGCAGCAAUAUUUGAGGGCUUACCGGACCAUUGUAGAGCAGACUAGGAUAGAAUAUUAGCUACCUUCGCCGGGGUCUUGGAUGAAGAGCGAAGCGAGGCGCAAAA
Hermetia illucens (black soldier fly) is the source of this 1990-nucleotide long non-coding RNA. RefSeq lists it as uncharacterized. NCBI's taxonomy places the organism in Eukaryota, Metazoa, Arthropoda, Insecta, Diptera, Stratiomyidae. The record is from RefSeq and is a predicted model, not a curated record. The transcript has 3 exons.